GUGAGGAAUUUUCCGCGAUGGGCGAAAGCCUGACGGAGCAAUGCCGCGUGAAGGAUGAAGGCCUAUGGGUUGUAAACUUCUUUUCUCAGAAAAGAAUUAUGACGGUAUCUGAGGAAUAAGCAUCGGCUAACUCUGUGCCAGCAGUCGCGGUAAGACAGAGGAUGCAAGCGUUAUCCGGAAUGAUUGGGCGUAAAGCGUCUGUAGGUUGUUUAAAAAGUAUUCUGUCAAAGAUUAGGGCUUAACCCUAGAUAGGCAGAAUAAACUUUUAAGCUAGAGUUUGGUAGAGGCAGAGGGAAUUCCCGGUGGAGCGGUGAAAUGCGUAGAUAUCGGGAGGAACACCAAAGGCGAAGGCACUCUGCUGGGCCAAUACUAACACUGAGAGACGAAAGCGAGGGGAGCAAAUGGGAUUAGAAACCCUUGUAGUCC
RNAcentral lists this ribosomal RNA (426 nucleotides) under uncultured bacterium. Its description in RNAcentral is "partial 16S ribosomal RNA". It matches the Rfam family "Bacterial small subunit ribosomal RNA", at positions 354 to 796 of the family's 1533-position model. The record is from RNAcentral.